RNA transcript from Anarrhichthys ocellatus (wolf-eel), 8745 nucleotides. RefSeq lists it as uncharacterized. The record is from RefSeq and is a predicted model, not a curated record. NCBI's taxonomy places the organism in Eukaryota, Metazoa, Chordata, Actinopteri, Perciformes, Anarhichadidae. The transcript has 2 exons.
GUCCGUCCUUAACUUCUUACCAUCACUCACUGCUCUCAAAGAGUCACACUUUCCCCAACAAACACUUGAGUUCUCAACACAUACAAGUAGGACUGCAGAGUCGCAUCGUAUUUACAAUCAAGAUUUUGGACUUCACAGUUAAUUGAACUUGAUGUUGUUUAGAGCUCCAGUGCAUCUGUAGGAUUAUUGUGAUGAAUAGAAGCAGUAAUAGUUGAUGUGAAGAACGUACGGUGUGUUAGGGUUAGACGGUGUCUUCUCUGUUUAAAUGGCCAAAUGCAUUAAGUCUGUUUUCUUCCCAAAGACGGAGAAGUUAUUUCAUAAAUAAUCACGGUCUUAGUUGUGAGCAGACUCAUUUUGAUUAGUAUUGAGCAGUAAUCCAGUCAGCUCUGAUUGGAUGAUUUUCAUUUCAAAAUACAGAAAUAGAUAUCACGGUUUAAACUGACUUACAUUUGGUUGAUUUUUGCUAUUUACGUUACAUAUUGUUUCAACAUCCUUUCAAUGUAUUUCAAAUGUUGAAAACCCAGAUGAUGAAAAAAACCUCUACAAACCACUUAAUCGCUCACAGUCACCAUACUAAUAAGUCAUAUUUUGUGUUAUUUUGCUCACCAUACUCGCAGCAUUUAGUUUUUAAUAUAUCUGACCGAUACUGCUUCAGAGCUACACAUCCCCCAUCCAACCGUCCUUAUUGUAAGCACAACCCUGAGACCUAUCGAUGAUCGAUACUCAUUGAUCGCUAUAGUUUUCUCCUGGCACGCAGCACUUGUCAGAUACUACAGUUAACAGUGUAUACAUUUUGACCUCCACAGCAAACGAGUCAUCUGGCGGAUGCCAAAUGAGAUUAGGGAGGCUUUUCCUCUGGCCUCUGUGUGAGCCGCUGCACGAGUGUUUUGUUAUGCGACUUGUGGUUAUGCAGAAUCUCUAAACAUCUGAACCGGAGUUAGAUUACCUCGGGGGAUUGGAUGCUUUCUCUCCUGUCACGGCUGUUUUUGGAAGCAGCCAAUUUUACACCACGAAUGGCAGUGCUCAUUAGGCUUUAGGUUGUGGAUUAGAGAGCGGCGUUGUAUUGAAGGGCCCGAGCAUAGAACAGGAGCCCCCCUGCCGUGCGCGUAGCUACAAAGUCGGCCCGGGCAACAAAGAACACGAGUCUUUGUGUGGGUGUAUAAACUGCCUCUGAAGCCUUGUGGAUGUGCAUUUUUGUUAAACCCACUUGUUUGACUUUGCCCAGCGUGUUUUUUUGUGUGUGCGUGUGUCUGUCAGACUGUGUCCUAAGGUAGAAUCAUCUCCUCUCUGCUGUCUGGGUCCCCGAGAGGCUUGUUAAGCUGCUGGGCCCUCCUGGAGCCAGCGCAGGGAGAGGCAGACAUGACUGCAGUGCUGGAAAAUGAAGCUAGACGCACCAUUACCCCCCCACGGUGCCAGCGUGUUUGUUUUUGCAGCGUGAUGUAAGCACCUCGGCACACGAAACGAAGGACAUGUGGACCGCGCAUACUGUAAAAAGACAAUUUAGCUCAAGAAAUCCUAGUUUUUUGGUCUCUGCCACUGCGGUGGAAAAGUGAUGGUGAACACUGUAUCCAAAGUAGUAGCUUGUAGCAUUUGAAAAUGCAUUAGGAGAAUACAUUACAGUAAAAUGCAAACACUUCAUUCUGCUUAAAGGCGAUCAGGGUUGGAGUCAGAAUUUCAGAAAAAGUCUAAAAAUCUUUUCCUCAGUUUUUUUUUGUCUGCAAACUUAAAAUACUAAAGCUAUUUAUAUUUAGAUUUGGAUUGUUCAUUUUUUGCCUAGAAACUGUUUUUAAUCUAAAGUAGCAGAGCCUUAAACCUAAAGAAUCUACAGAAAUACACUCCUUCGCUUUCUUGCUGCGAGUCAGACGAUAGACACCACUGUCACGUCUGAAGGUAAAACCAGCAGCUGGUUAGCUCCGUCCAAAGAUAAGCCUGUUACUAAAAGUUCAUGGACGUUUCUUUUUUUUUUCUUUUUUUUGCCAGGCCUAGUUGCCAGGCAACCAGCAGAGACUUCAGGAAGUUACUGGUCCUGGGCCAAUAAUUAAUUAAUUACAUAACACCCUGUAAAAAUGCUGAAUUGUUGUUUUUUUACCCCUUUCGUACAGAUGAAAUAAUGGAGACAUUUCUUUAAGGUUGAUUGGUGAGCUUCAGAGAGGGCUGCUCGGCUGAUUCUGUUCCCUCUGGACAGAGCCAGGCUAGCUGUCGGCCCUGUUUCCAGUCUUUAUGCUAAGCUAAGCUAGCCAGCUGAUAGUGUACAGACAUGAGUGGUAUCAAACCUCUCAUCUGUCAUUUGCACAGAAGAAUUUGACAAGAUUAUAUCACGGACAACAGGCGUCCGCCGAAAGCCCGUCGAGGAUCAUUUUGAAUCCUAAAAGCAGUCGUAUUUCACAUCACAGGUGGGAUCGUUCAUUGGUGGGAAUCCUUCCUGAUUAGAGUUGCGGUCCACAUCCAGCUGUUGCGUUCAUGUGGAAUCAGACAGCUGAGGUAGUUAGUCAUUCCUGGGGGGACAACAGUUAGUCUGCUCUGCUGGGCACCAGCUCAAAGCCCACAGGAGACGCACAGAGAGACGGUAACAGGUGUCGCUGUGAUGCAUGCAGAGCUGCUUCAUGGUGAGCGUACCUGCCGACGUUCCUUCUCCCUCUCUCACACUCACACUCACACACACACCCACACACACACUCUCUCUCUCUCCGUCUCUAACUCUCCAGAUGGCCAUCAUACAGGAUCAGUGAAACAGUCCUCUGGCGGCCAUUGUGAGGGCGUAAAGAAAAAAGAAAAAAAGAAAACAGCUUGUGAUUUGCGAUUUGUUCAUGAGCCAAUGACCAGGCAAAGUUGUCCCACUGAUCGCAUGUAGCGGCCUGAUAAGGCUGCCAUGGAGAUUGUCACCGCACGAGCAGGAAAAACACACAUGAAGCAAAAGGCUCUGCUUUUUGUUUCACACGCAGGCAAAAAAUCCUCACAGAGCGUACUUGGCUGCUGUCGGUACUAACUCAUCCUAAUCCAGGUUCACACUUCAAACCAGGCCCACAGUUUGGCAAACAGAUCCGGACCAGAUGAAGCCGUGAUUCCUGCCGUCUCCCCUCAAUCUCUUUCAAGUGAAAAAACGUCUGCUGAGACCACACUCUCUCUGCACGGUCCAACAGAGCCUUCGCCUGUCUUUCCAUUGUUUUCCCCGACACUAAAAAGACAGUUUCCAACAACAUGCAAGGUGUAAUUAUUUUUUUUUUUAUAUAUAUGUAUGCAUGUUUGGUGGAAUAGUUCAUUCAGGCUGUUUUGCAUCAGCAUGUAUAGCAGUGGGAUCAGUAAUGGCGUAUCUAAGGAAACCCGGUGGCUAUAGAUGACAAGACUGAUUAAGCCAUUAAAGUCCUUGAUAUGUAUUUAGCAUAAUCUGCCCUGUCUGCAAAUAAGGAGGCAGGGAGCUGGUAGCGACUGUUUUUUUUUUUAUCAAAAGCUGCUAGUUAGCUCAAUCAAAGCAGCUGCUGGGAAGCAUCAGCUUUAAAUCAGCGUUAUGAGGAAGAGAGAUGUGCUCUCUCUCUCUCUCUCUCUCUCUCUGGCGUGAAGAGAUUCAUUCCUGUCAUAUGAAGAGAUGAGGAGUGAUCUGCCGUGGCCCAUGUUCCUGCCAGCCUCCGGUCCUUUCAUGUUCUCGGCUUAAUUUGAGCUGAACCAAUGUUUAUCAUUCCGCAGCAACUGGGCCGAGUGGCUGGGAGGGAGGACAGUUCUGCUCCUGAUCUGCUUCUUCUUCUCUUUCUUUCGCUCACAUUGUUGUUUUGCUUGUAGACUGCAGUACUAUUUACCCUCUGGGAUAGAUUAGCGCUCUAAUCUAACCAGAUAAUAUUUUUAAUCAACAUCUGCAUUUUAUCCAUGUUGUGUUACACGAUGACACUUUAUGGCUGCAUAAUUAGGAAUAUAAUUCAUCCAUAUUAGUUGCAGAACAACACACAAAAGGAACUCGGCAGCCAAUUGUUCUUCCUAGUGAGGAUUAUAAUAUUUUAGAAAUAAUAUAUGUAAUAUUACUUUUAACUAAAACUAAAGACUGCUAUGCAUCGAGGAUUGAAAUCGCUCAUGUGUGGAAUGCUAACAUCAAACCCUAAUCUUAUUCUGUUGGAUGAAAAAGAAGACAAUACAAUGGUCUCCAGGUUUUCUCGAAAUUACAAGUGUGGGAGGAUAUACCUUCCUUUAUUAAGCCGUGCAUUAACACCACAGGAGAAUUCAGUAUUCAUGUACCCUGCUUACAACCACAGCUUAGUUGAACAUAUUGGAAAAGUGAUCUUUUGUUUAACCAGACUACUUGUCUUUUUUCUUCAGAGAUGUGGAGGCAAAUUACAUUUUCCCUUCUUCUAUCCCUUCUUCUUCUUCUUCUCUCUCACUCGCCUGCCCUCCCUCUUCUCUCACUCAGCUGCACACUCCUCCUUGUCUCUCCAAAAAGCAAGCGGGCUGUCGUCUCUCCCUUCUGUCUGCCCCAUCUGUGAUGCAGUAUGGGCCACUGGCUUGGUAAUGACGGGCGGGCGGAGCGCGGGGCUGCGCACGAGGCAAAGAGGGGGAAGAAAAACAGACAAAAACAACCCGUCUAAAAUGGAAGACAAACCUCUAAUCAGUUGUCUCACCAAGUCUACCAAGAGGUCUCGCCUUGCUGAUAAAAAAAGGUUUUUGCAGUAGCGGCUCUCACUCGGUCCCACGUUCCUCCCACCCAUGCGACCGUGUGACACGCUGUGUCAUACGCUGCAGAGAUGCGAGGUGGUAAAGAGGCGGAGGAAAAGAGUCUCGCUAUCACAGCAGAUGUGAACCCUCCAAAAGCCAUCGGACCAGAAUUGGUACCAUGUGUUUUUUUUUUUUUUUUUUUUUUCCUUCCGGCCCCGUACUUGUGUUAGAGUGAGGAAAAAGGCCCAGGGGCUCGUUACAACUUUAAUAUACUGUACAAUCACAGUAAUUGAGUAGGAUUUUCAAGUUCUUCCAGUCAUGGCUUUAAUUUAUGAAGUCCCCAUGAAAGUUUAAUGUAUCAGCAGUUGUAGAGUCGCAGCUAUCUAAAUCAUUCUGCAGCUAUCUCUGCCCGUGCUGCCUGCCAAGUCCCGCCGUUAGCGUCCCGUGCCCUAGAAAGAUGGCCAGAUUGCUCCAAAGGCACGACUGUUGCCGGACGUCUGUUCAACACAUUGUACACCUAGAGGUCUUUCACAGAGCCGUCCGAUUGGCUGGGAGCUACCCAAACGGGGUGCUGACACCAAUUCUGAUGCUGUUCACCCAAAACAAAUCCACCGUGUAACUUCAGGGGAUUUUCUUCUUCUUCUUCUAUUGUAUCAUCCAUGCUAGCGAGCACAGGAUCCCUGUUGCUUGAUGAGUGUAAUAUAGCAUGCUCACUUAAUUAUGGAGCAGCUCUCAUGAGAGGCAUAUUAGAGAAUGCAGACAAUAUGAAUAUGAGGAUCCCAGCUCCCCUUUGCUUAUGAAUCGUGGGGAACGCAGCAAUUUGCGUUGCAGGAGAUAUGAUGUGCCAUGUCCUCGUUUUGUUUUUUUAGCAACACGAGACCUGACCGAGAUGUUUGUUGUUGUUAUUAAUAUUUUGUCAGGAAGCGGGGGAUCUGAGUGACACGCGGCCCUGGAAGGGACUUAUUAUUAAAAGAAGUUAUUGUCGGCGAUCGCCGUAGAGAGAUGCAACACGGUGAUUAAUGGUGUGUUUUUAAAGCUGACAAAAAAGCGCAGGGAGACUCCAACCUGGGAGGACUGCACUGAGGAAUCAUUGCGAGGUUUACCUCUAAUGAAAGAAGCCAUCCUUCAGAUGUGCAUCACACUGGACUGCUAAGGGCCAUAGGGAAAAUGAGUGUUCUGAUUUAUAUUUGUUCUGACCUACUUAAUGUUCUUCAAUUCAGAUUUCAGAUUUAGACACAUUUCUUUUAAAUAUUAUAUCAUGAUUGCAUCACUUAAGCAUUAAAAGGAAAACAAGCUUGUUACGGCGUGUCCCUCUGUGACUUGACAGGUAGUGGGACAACAUCAAGAGACUCAAGACUAUCACGGUCGCUUGUCACUCCUAAAUAAAGUCGGCCCAUCUCGGUCACGCUGUCUCUGCGUCUCAGCUUCAGGACCAUACAGAUGAUGUCCCCGGAGACGCUUCCUUUAAACCCUGGUUCCCUAUUUCAAACUGAAAUAAAGCACAGAACAGAAACAGGCUUGCGACAGUCUAGUUGUCACAGUCCAGUGCAGUUCAAUCAUACCCCCUCCCCCCCUCCCCCCCUCCUGCCUCGUCCUAUCCCACGCUGUCUGCCUUAGAGGUGAAGUCAAAGCUGGCAGCUUCCCAUCUUAUCAGCUUUUUUCCCAUCACACACUUAUCAAAGCUCCCUUUUCUUCUCCUCCUGCCGCAGUUGUUUUGUUUACAUUGCUUGUCACGGCACGUAAACACCGGCAGUUAUCUCUCAGAUGGCAACAUCUCCGAUAAGACACAUCUGCUCUGUUGUACGUCUCUCUGGUGGAUGUAGUAGCAAAGUGCGAGCUCUGUGAGCGGAAAUAUGACUCGACUGGUAAAAGUGAAGUUCAUGCUGAUUCAUUUUCUUUGAAGCGAGCAUAGCAUGGCCUUAUUGUCAGUGUAUCAUCUGACACUUUGAAUAAAAAGAGAUUUUUCUUUUGCAACUCCUGUUCGGAUUUGCUGCUUUUCACUGCUUUAUAUCAUUGUAAACUGACUAUUUUAUAGUAUUUUUUUAUUUUAUUUUUCAAAACAAGCUAUUUGAAGAUGUCAUCUUGGAGUCUGGGAAAAUUAGAUGGCACUGUUUUUCUGAAAUAAUUCUAUUUAGCCCUUAGUGUGAAUCAAACUUGGUGGGGAGCUUUUCCCUCUUAACGUGUGUGUGUGUGUGUGUGUGUGUGUGUGUGUGUGUGUGUGUGUGUGUGUGUGUGUGUGUGUGUGUGUGUGUGUGUGUGUGUGUACGCUCCUCAUGAUAUGUUAUGAUUGGCUGAGAAAAUUCUUUUCCACUAUUUUGGGAGAUCGCACCAUCAUGUGUAUUCCACUAUCGGUCUCCUCCUCGUCCCGUUUUGUUUACAGGAUGGCGGCGAUGUGCGCUCGCUGCUCGCGCUGUAAGAAUGGCUGCACUUUGAUAUGAUCUCCCCAAUUAUCUGUCGUCAAUUCUGCCGCGUAUUAUUCCUCUCUCUCUGCGCGGCAGCUGGGGAGGAGAUUGGUUUUGUGCGUGUCGAACGGCAACAGCUGCAUCCACUAAAACAGACAACUACCUUUGCAGUCCUCCCUUUUUGGUCUCCCUCCCCCUCUUUCUCUCUCGCUCAGUGGUGGGCAGGUCACCCUGAAUUAUUCAUCAGUGUGAAAUGAAAAAGCUCAUGGAUAUUGAAUAUCCCCUCUGAAGUGGUGGCCAACCUUGUGUGUGUUUUUUUUCUUCUUCUUCCCUUUCUUUUUUUCCCCUUUGCAGCUGAAAAGAGUAAAGAGCGGCAGACCUCAUUGCCAGGCUAUUUCAAAGGUUAACCGAUUGCUUUACCUCGCGCACGUAUUUACUUUCUUCACGGUCCGUGGCCGGCAUUGAGGGGUUGUAGAGAGAUGAGGAGGCGCAGAGAAUGAAGAAAAAGAGUGAGAUAGUGAGGAGAUGAAAGAAUAGAACAGGGAUCUGUGUUCCUGCAGAUGUUUUUUUGUCCCUUUGACCCCCCCCCCCCCCCCCCCAGUGAGCCACCUCGGUGUGGAGCUAACCUCUCCGGUGGCGUGUUGCGAGGCCCGUUCCUUCCUGGAACGCCUGUGGUCGGUUGUGGUCGUCCUGAUCGACCGGUUGUCAUUAGUUUCCCAUGCGGCCCACUGUGUUCCUCCAUUGUCCCCCUGCCCGGUCUUUUGUCCUGUGGUUUGAUCUGCGGCCCACGCUGCAAAUCAAUGCUACUGGUUGCCAUUCAUUCACCUCCGCAGCCAGCAAACACAGCAGGGACUCUCAGACCAUCUCCCAUGUGAGAGCGUAUAAAAUGAGAAAGAAAAAAGAAGAUAAGUGGGGAAAAAUCCAUCAAGCCUUAGUUGUUUGUUUCCACAGAUUUAGGACAUUUUUGUCAAUUUAGAAUAUUUGUGUGUCCAUUUUUUUCCUGAAAAUUGUCUAUAAUGCUGUUUCUGUGAAGGACGGAGACUUAAAAGAGCUUCCUUUAUGCCAGAGAGCAGAUGCUAAGAUAAUGAAUCCAUGAAAUAAAUAAAAACUACUCAAGGGCCGAGCCCCCUCCUCCCCUGUUUGGUAUGUUGUACAUGCUAAUAGGACACGGAGUGUUUUAUUCGUUCAAUAAUAUCCGAGAGAGCAGCGCAGCAUAACCCUGCGUCGCUCUCAUUGGCCAUUAGGUUGCUACUACCCUGUACCCUUUCAGUCAUUACAGUCCAUUUUCCUCCGCUCCCCAAUUUGUACUGCAGCCUAGACAAUUACACAGGAAUCCUUUUAAGAGUAUUCCCAAGCCGUACAAAAGACCAAGCAGCCAGAGCUUUAACUGGCAAACCUUUUUCAAAAGUAUUCUUCACAGAGUUGUAAUGACGGACAAAUGCAGAGGGAGGGUAAAGCUAUUUUAUUUUCCUAGGAAAUAAAACCAGUCGACUGAUUUGUGUUCCAGGAAAUGUUUUUGAGGCUCUGCAUUUUCUUUUUUCUUUUUGCUUGUUUGAGAAAAUCCUGUCACUUGCAGGUAAUUGCGCUUUAGCUUAAGCGAAAUGCACACAGGAAGCGAGGCAGCCUCGGCGUAGCUCGGAGGUGUCGGAUGCUCCAGGUGUCGUAUCGUGUGAACGGAACGCAAACUCCAGUUACAGUGGAGGUUUUU